RNAcentral lists this ribosomal RNA (416 nucleotides) under bacterium enrichment culture clone ALO1_GLFRUDD03F6FAF. RNAcentral describes it as "bacterial SSU rRNA". It matches the Rfam family "Bacterial small subunit ribosomal RNA", at positions 9 to 428 of the family's 1533-position model. The record is from RNAcentral. RNAcentral also lists the same sequence under 4 other names.
GAGUUUGAUCCUGGCUCAGAUUGAACGCUGGCGGCAUGCCUUACACAUGCAAGUCGAACGGCAGCACGGGAGCUUGCUCCUGGUGGCGAGUGGCGAACGGGUGAGUAAUGCAUCGGAACGUAUCCUGGAGUGGGGGAUAACGUAGCGAAAGUUACGCUAAUACCGCAUAUUCUGUGAGCAGGAAAGCGGGGGACCUUCGGGCCUCGCGCUCUUGGAGCGGCCGAUGUCGGAUUAGCUAGUUGGUGAGGUAAAGGCUCACCAAGGCGACGAUCCGUAGCAGGUCUGAGAGGAUGAUCUGCCACACUGGAACUGAGACACGGUCCAGACUCCUACGGGAGGCAGCAGUGGGAAUUUUGGACAAUGGGGGCAACCCUGAUCCAGCCAUGCCGCGUGAGUGAAGAAGGCCUCGGUUGUAA